This is a long non-coding RNA of Etheostoma spectabile (orangethroat darter), 215 nucleotides long. RefSeq lists it as uncharacterized. NCBI's taxonomy places the organism in Eukaryota, Metazoa, Chordata, Actinopteri, Perciformes, Percidae. The transcript is spliced from 3 exons. The record is from RefSeq and is a predicted model, not a curated record.
GACCUCACCUGUACAGCUCACCUGUACAACUCCCUGUCUGCAGCUCACCUGUCUGCAGCUCACCUGUCUGACCUCACCUGUCUGCAGCUCACCUCUCACCUGUACAGCUCACCUGUCUGACCUCACCUGUCUGCAGCUCACCUCUCACCUUACACCUCACCUGUCUGACCUCACCUUACAGCUCACCUGUACAACUCACCUGUCUGCAGCUCACC